This 402-nucleotide ribosomal RNA is filed under the name uncultured bacterium. Its description in RNAcentral is "bacterial SSU rRNA". It matches the Rfam family "Bacterial small subunit ribosomal RNA", at positions 355 to 774 of the family's 1533-position model. The record is from RNAcentral.
UGGGGAAUAUUGCACAAUGGGGGAAACCCUGAUGCAGCAACGCCGCGUGAGUGAUGACGGCCUUCGGGUUGUAAAGCUCUGUCUUCAGGGACGAUAAUGACGGUACCUGAGGAGGAAGCCACGGCUAACUACGUGCCAGCAGCCGCGGUAAUACGUAGGUGGCAAGCGUUGUCCGGAUUUACUGGGCGGAAAGGGAGCGUAGGCGGACUUUUAAGUGAGAUGUGAAAUACCCGGGCUCAACCUGGGUGCUGCAUUUCAAACUGGAAGUCUAGAGUGCAGGAGAGGAGAGUGGAAUUCCUAGUGUAGCGGUGAAAUGCGUAGAGAUUAGGAAGAACACCAGUGGCGAAGGCGACUCUCUGGACUGUAACUGACGCUGAGGCUCGAAAGCGUGGGGAGCAAACA